Long non-coding RNA from Pezoporus occidentalis (night parrot), 883 nucleotides. RefSeq lists it as uncharacterized. The record is from RefSeq and is a predicted model, not a curated record. NCBI's taxonomy places the organism in Eukaryota, Metazoa, Chordata, Aves, Psittaciformes, Psittacidae. The transcript is spliced from 4 exons.
AAUGCCUGCCUUAUUGGCCAACUGGAAAUAUUCAGGAUAAGAUUUACCAGUCUGAAGUAUCUACCCAGAGUUCCCCUUAUAGUCACCAAGUAUUUAGAAACACAGAUCAGCUGAAAUUCAUUCCAUCCUCAAACCACCACCUAAAAUAAAUCAGAUCAGCUGUGGGGAUUCUCUCUCCUCUCCCCCUUCCUCUUUUUUUCCCCUUUAGGCAGCUGACAACUGCAGUAAUUGGUACCACUAACAAGACUGAGAUUUGUGGUGUUUAAUUGCAGAGCUUUAGCUGGCGUGAGCUCUAGAAGCAAGAAAAGCAUCUGAGGUAGGUCAGAAGUAGUGUCACAGCAUCUCAACAAAUAUCUGAAGGCAAACAGAUUCCUUGGUUGGGGUUGAGAGCAUCACAGCUGCUUGACAGGCCCAAGUGCCUGGGUGAAGGGAUCAACUGAAACACCAAAUGAAUCAAUAGAAAAUCAUAAACAAAGUCCAUUUUCUGUAACAGAGACUGCAGUUGAGCUGAGGGUAUGAGUGGGAAGGAAAUAAAAUUAGAGCUUUAUUCCGGCCUUGCUAAAGGAACAACUCCUCUCCUAAACUCUGUAAGGGUCAAGAUAGCUGUUAGAAUUAGAAGAUUAAUCUAAUCUAACACAAGACCUGCACCUGCUACAGGGGCUUACUGGAUGCUCCUCAGAUGUUUCUGCUGCAACUGGUCAAUACCACAUCCCUCAGUCUCCUGUCCCAGUACUAGGGUUUGGGAUUUACUUGUGCCAGGUCACGUCUGCUGGUGGGAUGCUACCACAUAUGGACCACAGAAUGAUGAGGAAUUUGUGCCCUGUGUAUGCUGUGCCAAGGCUGUGGGCCAGGCAGGUAUGGGCUGAAUGCCAUCUCCCCUCUC